CCCUUAGAUGUCCUGGGCUGCACGCGCGCUACACUGAUGUGUCCAGUAAGCACCUAACAUCUUCCGAAAGGAACGGGUAACCUUUGCAAAGCACAUCGUGAUGGGGAUAGAUUAUUGCAAUUAUUAGUCUUGAACGAGGAAUUCCUAGUAAGCACAAGUCAUCAGCUUGUGUUGAUUACGUCCCUGCCCUUUGUACACACCGCCCGUCGCUCCUACCGAUUGAAUGUUCCGGUGAGCUCUUCGGACUGCGCGGUCUGCAGUUUCUGCGUUCCGUGCGGAAAGUUGCGCAAACCUUAACAUUUAGAGGAAGGAGAAGUCGUAACA
RNAcentral lists this ribosomal RNA (324 nucleotides) under uncultured eukaryote. RNAcentral describes it as "partial 18S ribosomal RNA". It matches the Rfam family "Eukaryotic small subunit ribosomal RNA", at positions 1470 to 1796 of the family's 1831-position model. The record is from RNAcentral.